GUCCGCCUCACCGCGUGCACUGGUCCGGCCGGGCCUUUCCUUCUGGGGAGCCGCAUGCCCUUCACUGGGUGUGUCGGGGAACCAGGACUUUUACUUUGAAAAAAUUAGAGUGUUCAAAGCAGGCCUAUGCUCGAAUACAUUAGCAUGGAAUAAUAGAAUAGGACGUGUGGUUCUAUUUUGUUGGUUUCUAGGACCGCCGUAAUGAUUAAUAGGGAUAGUCGGGGCAUCAGUAUUCAAUUGU
RNAcentral lists this ribosomal RNA (241 nucleotides) under uncultured fungus. RNAcentral's name for it is "partial 18S ribosomal RNA". The stretch from base 77 to 241 matches the Rfam family "Eukaryotic small subunit ribosomal RNA", at positions 738 to 905 of the family's 1831-position model. Lineage: Eukaryota; Fungi. The record is from RNAcentral.